Molecule: long non-coding RNA, 196 nt
Organism: Sinocyclocheilus grahami
Lineage: Eukaryota; Metazoa; Chordata; Actinopteri; Cypriniformes; Cyprinidae
Exons: 3
Source: RefSeq, a predicted model, not a curated record
GUGCAUUCUGGACAAUGCCAUUAAUGUCAACUUUGAGGAGAUCCAGAACUUUCUACUUCACUUCUGGCAAGGAAUGCCUGAACAUCUCCUGCCACUGCUAGAGAAUCCGGUUAUCGUGGACAUCUUCUGUGUGUGUGACUCUAUGCUCUACAAAGUUUUGACUGAUGUUCUCAUCCCUGCUACAAUGCAAGAUAUG